GAAAUUGCGCAUGCUCCAUGCGAGUCCCCGUGCGGGCGGCAAAACAAAGCUGCUGCUGCUGCUGCCGCCGUCUGACCCGGGGGGAGCCCGGCAUUAAUUUCUCCGUGCCCGGCCGGGGGGGCUUUCUCAAGCUGGGACCCGCCCCCUGGGCAGCCCCGGGCUCUGCCCGCACCAGCGCCCGGGCCGGAGGCCCCCAGUGAGUGAGAGUCAAAAACUACAUUUCCCAGAAUGCCCCGGGGGGCGCUUCUGCCUUUUCCAGCUCAGGCUGCAGAAUGAUGUCCAUGUUUCGCUCCAGUUCAUCCCGUCCUCUCAUUGGACAGGGGAGAGAAAUGGCUGCAGAGGAGUCAGUCCAGGGGCCGGUGACCUUCGAGGAGGUGGCUGUGUAUUUCACCAGGGAAGAAUGGGCUCUGCUGGACCCCACUCAGAGAGCCCUCUACUGGGAUGUCAUGCAGGAGAACUAUGAGACUGUGACCUCACUGGGUAAGGGUUACUGUCCCCUUGGUUCUUGGAAGGGGAAAUGAAGAGUUAAGGUUCACGCCAGCCCCACAAUGCCACCUCUCCUCUGCCCAGUUUCAGCAUCACGCCAAUAUGCCAGUGCCACACACACUACCAGAGACCCUCCCCCACUGCAGAACACGUUGGGAACAGCGCACAGGAGCAGUAUCACACAGUGUCAAAUAUCUCCUGUUUGCUCAAGUAAAACUGAGCGUUAGGUGCGGCAUAAUCAACAGAAGCUUCCUACCCCUGACCUCUCAAACCCUGAGCCUUCUCCACCCAAACCUGAAUGUGCUUGGGAUGUACCAAGCAGGCUGCUGGAGUCAGAGCUGCUGGUCCAGGGUUACGUAUCACACAGACACUCCGUGCGUCCUUGAAUGCUGGCUGGGGGCAUCCAGAGAAGGAAGCUCAGUGGCGGUUUUAGGGUUAAUGGGGCCCUGUGCUCAGCUUCAUUUUUGGGGCCCCUCCUUGGGACCCAGGCAAGAAAAAGAACAUUCUCUCUUAUCCCCCCCCCCCCAUCCCUUCAUCCUCCUCCUAUAAGUAAUAGGAAGUAAAUGAAAAUGAAGUGAGGUGCCUGAUUGUUCUGGUAGUCUAACCGAUUUUUCCACAGACCAGUUGAAAAUCACUGAGGGUCUCAGUGCACCACUUAAUGACCUUUCCAAAUGUUGUUUGUACUGUUAGCGAACUAUUGUAAAGCGCUUUGGAUAAGAGCCCUUUAUAAAAAAAUGUAAAAAACGUUGGGGUGCAAGGUAUG
This is a non-coding RNA of Chrysemys picta bellii (western painted turtle), 1249 nucleotides long. NCBI's taxonomy places the organism in Eukaryota, Metazoa, Chordata, Testudines, Emydidae. The record is from RefSeq and is a predicted model, not a curated record.